This 104-nucleotide small nucleolar RNA is filed under the name Macleaya cordata. RNAcentral describes it as "small nucleolar RNA snoR128". It matches the Rfam family "small nucleolar RNA snoR128". Lineage: Eukaryota; Viridiplantae; Streptophyta; Magnoliopsida; Ranunculales; Papaveraceae. The record is from Rfam by way of RNAcentral.
UUGCGAUGAUGAAAGCUUAAGAAGUCAUUUAAAGCAUUUCUAUAGGUGCGAUGUGAUAUCAACAUGGUGGAGACCAUGUUGUUCCUGAGCGGUUAGCUGAGCAA